CAUCUUGGAUCUUCUCAGCGCUUCUCUGGGCACUUAAGCAUAGGUGGUGAGGCAGCUAUAGAGAGAUAUUUCAGCAUUGUGCCCCUGCAGGUCAACACUGAAGUCCUGACAUUGCCCUGGAGUAGAACUUUGCUCCCGACAUUUCCCUGGAGAGAGUCAGCCAGGCCCAGAGAGAAGAGCUUUACCACAACUCCUAGGGGAGCAGCAGCCAAUAUGCCAUGCUCCUGAUACAGAUGAUCCCCUGCACCAUGCUCAAGGACCCUGGGCAAGGUUCCCCAGA
Molecule: long non-coding RNA, 280 nt
Organism: Alligator sinensis (Chinese alligator)
Lineage: Eukaryota; Metazoa; Chordata; Crocodylia; Alligatoridae
Exons: 3
Source: RefSeq, a predicted model, not a curated record